AUUGAACGCUGGCGGCAUGCUUUACACAUGCAAGUCGAACGGCAGCGCGGGCUUCGGCCUGGCGGCGAGUGGCGAACGGGUGAGUAAUGCAACGGAACGUGCCCAGUAGUGGGGGAUAGCCCGGCGAAAGCCGGAUUAAUACCGCAUACGACCUGAGGGUGAAAGCGGGGGACGGGAAGGCCUCGCGCGAUUGGAGCGGUCGAUGUCGGAUUAGCUAGUUGGUGGGGGAAAGGCUUACGCAGGCGACGAUCCGUAGCUGGUCUGAGGGGACGACCAGCCACACUGGGACUGAGCCACGGCCCAGACUCCUACGGGAGGCAGCAGUGGGGAAUUUUGGACAAAGGGGGCAACCCUGCUCCAGCCAUGCCGCGUGCGGGAAGAAGGCCUUCGGGUUGUAAACCGCUUUUGUUCGGGAAGAAAUCCUCUGGGCUAAUACCCCGGGGGAAUGACGGUACCGGAAGAAUAAGCACCGGCUAACUACGUG
RNAcentral lists this ribosomal RNA (484 nucleotides) under uncultured bacterium. RNAcentral's name for it is "partial 16S ribosomal RNA". It matches the Rfam family "Bacterial small subunit ribosomal RNA", at positions 28 to 507 of the family's 1533-position model. The record is from RNAcentral.